ACAAGGACAUGCGCUUCAGCACCAGGGUCAAGGACGAGGAAGGCAUGCCGGCCUUCGCCCUCGUCAACAAGGCCACCGGCCUCGCCAUCAAGCACUCGCUCGGCCAAUCCCACCCGGUAAGUAUUUACUUGUCUGUCUGUACAUGUUCAUCUACCAUCAGCAAGGAGAUGGAGAUCGAUUCUGAUUGCAAUCCGAUCGAUCCAUAUGCUGUAUGCAGGUGAAGCUGGUGCCCUUCAACCCUGCCGAGGAGGACGCGUCGGUGCUGUGGACGGAGAGCAAGGACAUCGGCAAGGGCUUCCGCUGCAUCCGCAUGGUCAACAACACCCGCCUCAACUUCGACGCCUUCCACGGCGACAAGGACCACGGCGGCGUCCACGACGGCACCACCGUCGUGCUCUGGGAUUGGUGCAAGGGCGAGAACCAGAGCUGGAAGAUCCUGCCAUGGGGCCCCGAGGCGCACUCCCCCGCCGCCGGGCCCGGGAACGCCUCCAUCGGCGGCGUCCCCGUGCACACCGUCCGCGUCUUCUGCAAGGCCGGCGAGGACUACAGCCUGACGGCGCGCAACGGCACGGUGUGCCUGGCGCCCUCCAACCCCAGGGACGAGUACCAGCACUGGAUCAAGGACAUGAGGCACAGCACCCGGAUCAGGGACGAGGAGGGCUACCCGGCCUUCGCCCUCGUCAACAAGGUCACCGGCGAGGCCAUCAAGCACUCCACGGGGCAGGGCCACUCCGUCAAGCUGGUCCCCUACAACCCGGACUACCAGGACGAGUCGGUGCUCUGGACCGAGAGCCGCGACGUCGGCGACGGCUUCCGCUGCGUCCGCAUGGUGAACAACAUCUACCUCAACUUCGACGCCUUCCACGGCGACAAGGCCCACGGCGGCGUCCACGACGGCACCGAGAUCGUGCUCUGGGAGUGGGCCAAGGGCGACAACCAGCGCUGGAAGAUCCUCCCCUGGUGUAAGUGUACAUCCAUGCCAUUGAUGCCCUGCCUUACAUCCUUUGAAAAUCUCAUGUUUUCCAAUCAAUGGUUGCUUGCGUUCGCAGAGAUCGAUGGAGACGGCGGAACCUGAUGGACUGGAACCAAGGAGCUGCUACCUAAUAAUAACCGAUUACUGCAGCGAUUGAAUAAACCGUGUGUUAUGUUGUAAUCGCGGAUUUCGGAGUUGUAUUUGCGUCAGACUGUCGGUCACAGUGUGACUAGUGUCCUGUCCCUUCUGUGAGCCUGGCCUUAGUGCCUCACCAUGUGAGGAGUGACCUGUAUUGUGGAGGAGUAGCCUCGAUCUGAUCCUGCAUUGUGGUGCGAUCCUUCUGGCUUUCUUUCGAUUUCCGGCGCCACAACUCUGUAUCAUCUCGUCUCCUUUGUUCUACUGAAUGAAUAUGCAUCUGCAUUCCGUUUCACCUAUCUUUGCGCUGGGGACCAACUCUGUUCCAUGGUCCACGUGAAACCCCCAGGUUGUUCGCGGAAAACUUUCUUUUUAAUAACAGAGCGCUGCAAACCGACGCCUGUGCAAAGCAAUCUUUUUAAAAAAAACUAAGCAGGAGCACUGCUGAUUCAUUUAAGAAGAAAGAAAUUCGAAGUUACAAAUAUUAUAUAAAUUGAUGAUCGCGCUGCUCUUAAACAUUAAAAUAAAUCAAACUGUGCCGGACAAAUGUCAGUCACGGUGGAACUGCAGCUUUCCUGGAGAUAUAGAUGUACAUUCGGGCCUCCCGGCGGUCCGGCACGGGCCAAGCAUGGCCCGUUCAUUUUCGUGCUGGGCCUGGCCCGUCACGACAACCCCAUCGUGCCAGGCCGGGCCAGCCCACGAGCCUCAGUCACGGCCUAGACACAGGCCCGUAGUGCCUUUUUCGUGCCGGGUCGACCCGAAUAGCCCGGUAUUUUUUACGUGUCGUGCCGGCCUACAGCCCGUUAAGAAAAAGACUUCACCGAAUGAACGUCUGAUUCAUAAUCUAACACUUUCAUUUGAACACAUAGAAAUUCAUCACAUUCAUCAGUUCAUCCCAUAUUCACAUUCACAUUCACAUUCACACAUAUUCAUCACGUGCAGGGAGCUGGGGAGCGGCCAAUUUGAGCGCUCGAGGUGUCGGAUCUGCCAAUUCGAGGCGUGGAGGCGCCGGAUCGGAGGAUUUGAGGUCGAGGGCUCGAGACGAGGAGGUGUCGGAGCAGGGCGGGACGCCAUGUUGCCGUCAGCCGUCGGCACCUCGAUGGGACUGCGGUCUGCGGGUGCGCCGGUGCGGGACAGGGGAAUGGGGGAGGACUGGAGGAGGAGGCGAUGGCCGCGAGUGGAGGAGGCGAGGAGCGGAGGAGGCGAGGCGAGGAGGCGGCUGGUGGAGGGGUAGGGUUUGCAGUUGCGAAGGGGAGGCCGAGGCCGGCGGGGGCAUAUAUAUGCCGGGCGCUCCCGAUCAUUGGUGGGCUACAGAGUUGGGCCGGCUUGACGGGCCGGCUGUUCGAUUUCAUGCCGGGCUGUGCCGCCCAUCGGGCCUAGGUGGCAGCCCACGCCUGGAACGAAGCAUCGGGCCGGGCUGGGCUUAGGAUGGGCCAAAAAUGAGCUUCGUGCUGGGCUGUCGGGCUACAGGCUGCAUGUACAUCUGUACCUGGAGAGAACUGGACGAGCUGGGCCUGCUCGCUCGGCUGCCAGCCCAAGUAUCUGCCGCAGCAGGCCCAUUACAUCCAGGUCCAGCCCCUGAAAGAUUGGCCUUCUGAAACAAGCAAAAUCUCGGUUUAUCUGGCCUAAAGCGGGCCCAACCAAACCGACUUGGAAUCGAAACUCAACAUGUUAAAGCAGGAAAGGAUCAAUAAAUGCUGCGAUCAGAGAAGCACAUUGUUUUUGCUGCGGUGAAGAGACGAGGAAAAAAAAUGUACUGCAGUGUUCGUUGUGCAGUUCUUCCUCAUGCUCUGUGCGCGCUUAAGUUUGUAGUCCUACUUUGCCUACUCUACCAAUUCAAGAAUCUAUGUUAUAAUCUGCGCAUUCUGAUUUUUUUUUUAUCAUUACCAUCUCUGUAUUAUUUUCUCCGAUCCAUAGCCCUGCUGCUGCUUUGGUGACCUGUUCUUCACAAAUAUCACUCCUGCUAUGUCGAAUCUGAAUUUCAAAUAAAAGUACUAGCUCAUUUCUUUUACAAGAAUAUUUCAGAAAAAUGUCCAGGAACUAUAAAGAAAAUAAUAUGUUUUCAAUAACUGUGGAAAAAUAUAUUAUGCAUCUACUUGAACGUUUGCGUAUAUUACGUGUUGAAAAAAAAAGGAAAAGAAAUCCAUGUGCUUCCCGGUGAAGCAUUUUUCUAAGAAAAAAAAGUUGAAACUGGGAGGGCCGAGGAAACGGAAUGGGCCUUCUUGUUUCCAAAGGAGAAAACUGGGCCAGUAUCCCUGAUGCAAAACAACUGCAAAUGUACGCAGAGUGCAGAUAACAGUAACGCGCAGCAUCUAGAAGGCACGUAAACCAGAAGGAAUACGUCGAUAACGAUUCGAGAUAAUCAUCAACGAAAAAUAUUCGAAUUCGCUGCUUAAUUGGAUCCCAUUAGUUUUUUUAUUCUUUGAGCAUUAUUACGUUUAAUUCCAGGCCUCCAGCUUGCGGUUAAGCACAACGCGUGCCCCUCCACAACUUUGUAUCCUCGCCGUCAAUAAUGGCCGCAGAGCAACGAUUCUUCUCAAAACGACUAGAAACGGAAUCACGCAAAGCUGGGCUGCUAGUGUCGCAUGGCAUCAUCCUUCCUGCCCAUGCACGCCCCCGUCGCUCGAUAGAUGCAGAUCGCCAUCGAUCACCUGCUACACCGCGCAGCGUGAUGCUAACGCCACGCACCCACAAUGCAGCGCCGCGACGCGAGAGCCCUAUAAAUCCCCCGUCCGUUGCCCUAUAAAUCAAUCACAAACAAGAACCACAACACAAGUGCUUGCUGCUAGCUGCUUAAGAAAAGAACCAGGCACACCAAAGAGAAAAGAGAGAUGGACUUUUACGGUGGUCGUGAGCGUUACGGCGGCGGUUACGGCGGCAUCGCGACGCCGGGGUACGCUCCGCCGGUGCCGUACGGGAUGUCGCAGGUGAACAUCGAGGGCAAGGGUUGCGGGCGCCCUCUGCCGCCGCAGCCGACGGUGAAGGUGUACUGCCGCGCCGACCCCAACUACGCGAUGACGGUCCGCAACGGCAAGGUGGUGCUGGCGCCGGCGAACCCCAAGGACGAGUACCAGCACUGGAUCAAGGACAUGCGGUGGAGCACGAGCGUCAAGGACGAGGAGGGGUACCCGGCGUUCGCGCUGGUGAACAAGGCCACCGGGGAGGCCAUCAAGCACUCCCUGGGGCAGUCCCACCCGGUGCGCCUGGUGCCCUACAACCCGGACUUCCUGGACGAGUCGGUGCUGUGGACGGAGAGCCGCGACGUCGGCAACGGCUUCCGCUGCGUGCGCAUGGUGAACAACAUCUACCUCAACUUCGACGCGCUCCACGGCGACAAGUGGCACGGCGGCGUCCGCGACGGCACCGAGAUCGUGCUCUGGAAGUGGUGCGAGGGAGACAACCAGCGCUGGAAGAUCCAGCCAUACUACUGAACAACUGAUCCAUCAGCUGCCUCAUCC
Molecule: long non-coding RNA, 4566 nt
Filed under: Setaria viridis
Lineage: Eukaryota; Viridiplantae; Streptophyta; Magnoliopsida; Poales; Poaceae
Description: long non-coding RNA (SVIR_LNC002489)
Source: RNAcentral